UGUUUAAUUUUUACAGGUUAAACAGCAAAGGGAACGUUUAAGAAGAGCAAAAGAACCUAUCUUAAGUCAGGCGUUCCCGGCUAAGAUACACGGCUAUGAGUUACGCAUAAUACAGCAGCCAGAGGAGCAACAUAGAGCACGAUAUCUGACAGAGGGAAGUCGUGGGUCCGUGAAAAACAGGAGUGGGUCUGCUUAUCCACAAAUCAAGCUCUUUGGUUAUUCAGGGGAAGCAACUCUACAGAUAUUUAUUGGAAAUGAUAGUGGACGUGUGCGGCCGCAUGGUUUUUACCAGGCAUGUAAAGUUUGUGGGAAGAACUCCACCAUGUGUACGGAGAAAGACAUAGAUGGCACCACUGUCAUUGAAAUAGAACUGACUUCUGCCAAUGACAUGACAGCAUCGGUUGACUGUGUAGGAAUUCUUAAACUGAGAAAUGCAGAUGUUGAACAGAGGAUAGGAAUUGCUAAAGCGAAGAAGAAAAGUACGAAAGCUCGGAUGAUAUUCCGUAGUGACGUUUCAGAAACCAUGUGGGAACCCACAGGUUCUUCAAGUGGCAUCAUCCACCAUUC
Molecule: long non-coding RNA, 567 nt
Organism: Ruditapes philippinarum (Manila clam)
Lineage: Eukaryota; Metazoa; Mollusca; Bivalvia; Venerida; Veneridae
Exons: 3
Source: RefSeq, a predicted model, not a curated record